AACGCAACUUGCACCUGUCUGCCCCGUGUUGACAGGUAUACUUGUUUGAGUAUCGCAUCUACCUCACCUCGGUGGAGCUGGGCGUGUCGACGGUCGACUCGCCUGAAAUGCAGUGCUGCCGCGUGCAGUGCCGAUGGGAUAACAUCACAUUUGGCCGGCGUGGGCAGCAAACGCGUGUCUGGGGAGCGCACGAACAUCGAUCUCAAAUCAAGUAAGGGUACCCGCUGAACUUAA
This 234-nucleotide unclassified non-coding RNA is filed under the name uncultured soil eukaryote. RNAcentral describes it as "sequence contains 5.8S rRNA gene, ITS2, 28S rRNA gene". The record is from RNAcentral.